This 497-nucleotide ribosomal RNA is filed under the name uncultured bacterium. Its description in RNAcentral is "partial 16S ribosomal RNA". It matches the Rfam family "Bacterial small subunit ribosomal RNA", at positions 28 to 507 of the family's 1533-position model. The record is from RNAcentral.
GAUGAACGCUGGCGGCGUGCCUAAUACAUGCAAGUCGAGCGAACAGACGAGGAGCUUGCUCCUCUGACGUUAGCGGCGGACGGGUGAGUAACACGUGGAUAACCUACCUAUAAGACUGGGAUAACUUCGGGAAACCGGAGCUAAUACCGGAUAAUAUAUUGAACCGCAUGGUUCAAUAGUGAAAGACGGUUUUGCUGUCACUUAUAGAUGGAUCCGCGCCGCAUUAGCUAGUUGGUAAGGUAACGGCUUACCAAGGCAACGAUGCGUAGCCGACCUGAGAGGGUGAUCGGCCACACUGGAACUGAGACACGGUCCAGACUCCUACGGCAGGCAGCAGUAGGGAAUCUUCCGCAAUGGGCGAAAGCCUGACGGAGCAACGCCGCGUGAGUGAUGAAGGUCUUCGGAUCGUAAAACUCUGUUAUUAGGGAAGAACAAAUGUGUAAGUAACUAUGCACGUCUUGACGGUACCUAAUCAGAAAGCCACGGCUAACUACGUG